ACGAACGCUGGCGGCGUGCUUAACACAUGCAAGUCGAACGGGGGUAGCAAUACCCUAGUGGCGGACGGGUGAGUAACGCGUAGGUAAUCUGCCCCGUGGUGGGGGACACCCAGCCGAAAGGCUGGCUAAUACCGCAUAAGCUCUUUAUUUGAGAUGGUAAAGAGGAAAGGUUUACUGCCAUGGGAUGAGCCUGCGUCCGAUUAGCUAGUUGGUGAGGUAAAGGCUCACCAAGGCGACGAUCGGUAGCUGGUCUGAGAGGACGAUCAGCCACACUGGAACUGAGACACGGUCCAGACUCCUACGGGAGGCAGCAGUGGGGAAUUUUCCGCAAUGGGCGAAAGCCUGACGGAGCAACGCCGCGUGGGUGAAGAAGAUUUUCGGAUCGUAAAGCCCUUUCAGUCGGGAAGAAGUCAGUGACGGUACCGACAGAAGAAGCAUCGGCUAACUACGU
This 451-nucleotide ribosomal RNA is filed under the name uncultured bacterium. RNAcentral's name for it is "bacterial SSU rRNA". It matches the Rfam family "Bacterial small subunit ribosomal RNA", at positions 29 to 506 of the family's 1533-position model. The record is from RNAcentral.